Molecule: long non-coding RNA, 509 nt
Filed under: Ananas comosus (pineapple)
Lineage: Eukaryota; Viridiplantae; Streptophyta; Magnoliopsida; Poales; Bromeliaceae
Description: long non-coding RNA (ACOM_LNC023640)
Source: RNAcentral
GUUAGGUAAGAAUGAAAAUUAGGUAGGAUAUUAUUUGAAAAAAGGGAAAACUUCAAAAUCCCCCCCUGUGGUUUCGUGCAUUCUCACUUUAGUACCCUGUGGUGUAAAACGUAUCAAUUUGCCCCCGUGUGGUUUCAUUUUUAUCUUUUCGGAAGCUUUUUCGUUAAUAUUUCGUUAAAUUAUAUACAAAAAACUUCAGAUAACCAUCUAUGUUUAUCAAAUAUUCACUUUAGUAUCCUUUAAUUUUAAUUUUGUCACUGAUUUAAGAAAAAAAAUUAAUAAAAUUGAUAACAAAAAGAGAAAAACGAAAUCACUGGGGGGCAAAUUGAUACAUUUUAAACCACAGGGUACUAAAGUGAGAAAGUGCGAAACCACAAGGGGGGUUUUUGAAGUUUUCCCUUGAAAAUAUUUUGCAUCCAUAUCUGAUAUUAUUCGGAUUUAGUUGAGUAUGAAUAAUUUAGAGAGUGGAAAUUAUCCGAAUAAUGGAAAAAAAAUGAACAUAUAUGGAU